CCGGUUCGGUUGAAGAGAAAAAUCCUGAAAUUCAGGGUUGACUCUGAAAGAGGAAAGCGUAAUAUACGCCACCUCGCGACAGUGAGCUGAAAGCCGCGUCGCAACUGCUCUUUAACAAUUUAUCAGACAAUCUGUGUGAGGGAUAACUACUGGAAACGGUAGCUAAUACCGCAUAACGUCGCAAGACCAAAGAGGGGGACCUUCGGGCCUCUUGCCAUCGGAUGUGCCCAGAUGGGAUUAGCUAGUAGGUGGGGUAACGGCUCACCUAGGCGACGAUCCCUAGCUGGUCUGAGAGGAUGACCAGCCACACUGGAACUGAGACACGGUCCAGACUCCUACGGGAGGCAGCAGUGGGGAAUAUUGCACAAUGGGCGCAAGCCUGAUGCAGCCAUGCCGCGUGUAUGAAGAAGGCCUUCGGGUUGUAAAGUACUUUCAGCGGGGAGGAAGGGAGUAAAGUUAAUACCUUUGCUCAUUGACGUUACCCGCAGAAGAAGCACCGGCUAACUCCGUGCCAGCAGCCGCGGUAAUACGGAGGGUGCAAGCGUUAAUCGGAAUUACUGGGCGUAAAGCGCACGCAGGCGGUUUGUUAAGUCAGAUGUGAAAUCCCCGGGCUCAACCUGGGAACUGCAUCUGAUACUGGCAAGCUUGAGUCUCGUAGAGGGGGGUAGAAUUCCAGGUGUAGCGGUGAAAUGCGUAGAGAUCUGGAGGAAUACCGGUGGCGAAGGCGGCCCCCUGGACGAAGACUGACGCUCAGGUGCGAAAGCGUGGGGAGCAAACAGGAUUAGAUCCCCUGGUAGUCCACGCCGUAAACGAUGUCGACUUGGAGGUUGUGCCCUUGAGGCGUGGCUUCCGGAGCUAACGCGUUAAGUCGACCGCCUGGGGAGUACGGCCGCAAGGUUAAAACUCAAAUGAAUUGACGGGGGCCCGCACAAGCGGUGGAGCAUGUGGUUUAAUUCGAUGCAACGCGAAGAACCUUACCUGGUCUUGACAUCCACAGUGAGACAGGUGCUGCAUGGCUGUCGUCAGCUCGUGUUGUGAAAUGUUGGGUUAAGUCCCGCAACGAGCGCAACCCUUAUCCUUUGUUGCCAGCGGUCCGGCCGGGAACUCAAAGGAGACUGCCAGUGAUAAACUGGAGGAAGGUGGGGAUGACGUCAAGUCAUCAUGGCCCUUACGACCAGGGCUACACACGUGCUACAAUGGCGCAUACAAAGAGAAGCGACCUCGCGAGAGCAAGCGGACCUCAUAAAGUGCGUCGUAGUCCGGAUUGGAGUCUGCAACUCGACUCCAUGAAGUCGGAAUCGCUAGUAAUCGUGGAUCAGAAUGCCACGGUGAAUACGUUCCCGGGCCUUGUACACACCGCCCGUCACACCAUGGGAGUGGGUUGCAAAAGAAGUAGGUAGCUUAACCUUCGGGAGGGCGCUUACCACUUUGUGAUUCAUGACUGGGGUGAAGUCGUAACAAGGUAACCGUAGGGGAACCUGCGGUUG
RNAcentral lists this ribosomal RNA (1487 nucleotides) under uncultured Escherichia sp. Its description in RNAcentral is "bacterial SSU rRNA". It matches the Rfam family "Bacterial small subunit ribosomal RNA". Lineage: Bacteria; Pseudomonadati; Pseudomonadota; Gammaproteobacteria; Enterobacterales; Enterobacteriaceae. The record is from RNAcentral.